This 32033-nucleotide long non-coding RNA is filed under the name Lactuca sativa (garden lettuce). RNAcentral's name for it is "long non-coding RNA (LSAT_LNC000140)". The record is from RNAcentral. Lineage: Eukaryota; Viridiplantae; Streptophyta; Magnoliopsida; Asterales; Asteraceae.
CUCUAUCUACUUUCAAUGUUUCUCAUAACAAUCUAUCAGGCAGACUCCCAGAAAUGAAAGCACAGUUUGGUACCUUCACAGAGGCAAGCUAUGAAGGGAAUCCACUUCUUUGUGGACUGCCUUUGGAGAAGAAAUGCUCUACUGAUUCACAGGUGACCGAUUCAUCAGCUGAAGAAGACAAUGAGAAAUGGUAUGCUAUCGAUAUGACAUGGUUUUAUGUGAGUUCUGGUUCUACAUGUGGUGUGUUGUUAUUGGGAUUCGUUGCCCUUCUUUACAUCAAUCCUUACUGGCGUAGAAGGUGGCUACACUGGGUUGAAGAUUGCAUGUUUACAUUUUAUUACUUCCUUUAUGAUUUAGUAAGAAAGCCUACUCUAUGAUCUUCCAAGCUUAUGACCUCAUUAAGAAUGCAUGAUAGAAUAAAUGCAAAGUUGUUUUUGUAUGUAUUCGUAUUUGUCUGUUUUUAUAUAAGUAUGACGAUGUAUAUGAAGGCUAGUCAUGAUAAGUGUGUUUCCCCAUCUCAUUUAUGCAAAAGAAUUUGACUAAUUAAUGGUUCGUUGCAAAGUUGACGCAUUUACAAAACUUACAUUGAUUUAUGGUAUUUCUUAAAUUUAGUAAACUUACAUUGAUCUAUGGCACCAAAAUGACUUAGAUUACUUUGCUUGUCAUGUAUUUUAUGAUAAGUAAUCACCAUUGGUUGAGUCAACAUGUGCAGCCAACUCCUCAUUUCACUAACAAAACUAAUGAUCCAUUAAACAUGAUGUCAAAACAAUGGCGUUUUUAUGGCUUAAGAAUAGAUCAAAAUGGGGUAGGGGUUUGAUAUGGAGUUUAUGGGUUGAUAACCCAAUGUAUCACACCAUGUAAUCUCGUUCUCUUUCUCCUAAGCUGAAAUGGUCAACAAAAAAAAAAGAAUUGAACAUGAGCUUCAAAGCUGAAAUGGUCAACAACACCUUCUUUCCUACAAGAUUGACCCAACGUGAUUAAAAUCUUUAGUAUUUCUAUAUAAUGUAGUUAGAGUGUGGUUUCAAUGCAUUUUCUAUUAAAAUAAAUAAAUAAAUAAAAAUAAAAAAACUUUCGAAGAUCGUAUAAUUUUAACUAUGUAAUUUUAAUUAUAUUUUGUUAUUUGCUAUUUCGAUAACUAAAAGCAGAAUUAAACAAAAAUAACUAAUUCAUAGAUCAAUAGAUAGAUUGAAAUAAUGAUAAGUGAUAUUUGAACAAUUAAAAUUUUAAAAGUUGUAUAUGCGUGUGAAUGAAAUCGGCAAAAAGAUGUAGUUUAUAAUUAAUGAAAUGCAUUGAUAUAUAAGAUAAGGCCGUUGGGUACAAGCGUAUGGGUUGACAUGUCAAAUAAAAGUCCGACCCAGUUGUGCUAUUAUGAAAUUUUUAUAAGAAUAAAUUACUGAAAUGAUACAUGUGAUUUACAAAAACUUAGUGUACAAAAUAAAAGAUAAGGAUCAAACCUGAAUUUUUUGCAAACCAUGGGUACCAUUUCAGUAACUUGUUAAAAGUGGGAAUGAAUUAACGCACUGCCUAAUAAUAAUAGUACCACAAACAAUGCGGAAUGUACACUUUCCAGAUUAUUCCAGCACUUGCUGUGGUCAAUUAACAACGGAGAUUAGAGAAGCAUUUUCAUUUACAGAACCACUACAAAAUUCAUAAAAUUCGAACCGGCCUACAUCGAUUAUUUGAGAAGAUUCAUUCUAACAAUUCUCAUGAAUCAACAAAUACACGGUGGUUAAAUAUAAUUCAAACGAAUUUAAAAGUACAAAGAUAUUUUAUGCAAAUUGAAACUUCAAUGUUUGUUCACUUUGUUGAAAAAGUCAACAAGAUGUCGCUAUGCCAUAAGUUUAUGGGAGUGUAUCAUAAAUCCAAAAGGGGCAGGUGACCAUGGAGAAUAGACUUAUGCGUGGGAAUCACCAUUUGACUUGAUGACUUACGGAGAAUUAUCAAUUAUGCAAUCAUUGACUUGAUGGUUUGUACAGAAUUAUGCAAUUCAUAUUCAUUUCAUUGCAAAUCAAGUGUUUCCCAUGUCUCAUUACAUAUCUAAGGACUAAGAAGCCGUCAUUGUUACUGUAGCAACUAAAAUGGAGUGUCGGGGUUUGAGUAAUCGGAAAUCAUGGUUAUAUUGGUCGUUGAUGUUGAUGAUUAUACAAAUUCUUAUCUUCAGGCAAACAAAAGGGGAUUGUAUAGAAGAGGAGAGAAAGGCACUUUUAGAAAUCAAAGCCUCCCAUAUGAAGUCAUAUGAUUCUGAAAAUGACCAUUUUCUCCCUACCUGGGUUGAUUAUGGCAGUGGUACCCCUGGGGAUGGUGGCGGCGACUGUUGUGAUUGGGAGAGGAUCACCUGCAACACAACCACCGGCCAUGUGACAGAGCUUUCUUUGUACUAUUUGAGAGGGACAGACGAUGACAUAAAGUUUUGGAGCAAGUUUUGGCCAUUGAAUGUUUCCUUGUUUCUACAUUUUAAAGAGUUGAGGAGUCUGAAUUUGUCAGAUGAUUUUCUUGACAAGGAGAUUAUGAAGACAGGUACAACGUGAUUAAAUAAUGCUUUAGUAUUUCUUUCCAAUAUCAUCCUUUUUGAGCAAGAAAUUAAUUCGAGUAAAUUGGCUCUAUCUAAAUUCAUGGACUCAACCUCCAACUAGCUAAUGUAUAACCGAGAAGUUGGAUAAGAUUUUUGUAUAUAAAAGACCUAACACAAGACUUUAUGUGUACUUCAGAUCCUGCAGUUAAUGCCAUAACUUAUUAUUAUUUAUCACCUGAGCCUGCAUCAAAAGACAAGGAUGCCUAUGUUAAAAAAAAAAAAAAUUCUUUUGCAGGACUAGAAAAGUUGUCGACUUUGAAGAAGUUGGAGGUUUUGGACCUCAGUUUCAAUGAUGAUAUUGAUAAUGACAUCCUUCCAUCAUUGAUGACACUCACUUCACUCAAAAUCUUGGAUCUUAGCUUCACUAGCUUGAAUGGAAACUUUCCUCUCAGUGGCAUGUUUUCACCUUUUCUCUGUUUUUAAGUUAUCAUGCACAAAUGCAUAUUUUAAAGAUAUUUACACCCUUUUUACAUGAAUUGCAGAAUUUGCAGCUUUAGAAAACCUGGAGGUGUUGGAUCUAAGCAACUGUAACUUUAAUGGUACCUUUCAUCGCUGAUAAACUAACUUGUCAUAUCAAACUAAAGCUGAUAAAUUCGACUGCUUCAAUUUCUAAGUGUAGGCGUUUCAAUAUUAAAGAAGUUGAAAUCAUUAAAUCCUGGGUACAACAGAUUUAAUGAAAGCGCUGCAACAUCUUUGAAUACACUUCCAUCACUGACAAACUUGGAUCUUAGCAACAACCCUUUUUUAGGACCAUUUCCAGCUCAAGGUACAUGCUAUAUAUGACUACAAAGUACUAUUAUAAUCUAGCAUGUGUCCUUGUACACAUUGAAUAAUUAAGGCUUCCUACUUACAACUUACAAGGAAGUGAAAAGUCUAAUGAGCCUAUGUGCAUAAUAUCUGUUUUAUGUUUUUCUUUUGUAUAUGACAGAAUUAGCUCAUCUCACUAACUUGGAGAAGUUGGAUUUAAGUUUCACCCAGCUCAAUGGCACACCAGAUAUCCAAGGUAAAUGAAGAAUUGGCUUCUCCUAGCCCUAACCCUGAUAAAGUUCUUAAACACCAAUUAAUCCUAAAUUCUUCCAUAAUUAAAAUUGUAUAUGUAAGAGUAUAAGAUCACCAUGGUUUCAGUAGCAUUUCAUUUUUUUUUCUACAGCUUGUAAGAUUUUAUCGAGACUGAAAAGGUUGGAGAGUAUAAAUCUCUCCAAUAACAAUUUCAACAAAAGCAUCGUAUCAUGCCUAAGAGCCCUCCCAUCCCUCAAGAUUCUUGAUCUUUCACAUUCUUUUCCAUUGGAUAGCUCAUUUCCCAUCCAAGGCAUGUUAAUUUUUAAAUGAUUCAUGAUCAUCACACAAACUAAAUUACUAAAUUUCAUCGGCACAAUUAUUUAUUAUUAUCCAUUUUUGCUAAUUGUUUAUAAAAUUGUUUGACACAUCUCGUUAUCCAAUAUAGAAUUCCAUGAUUUGCCUAAUUUGGAAGUCGUCCUCUUGAGAGAAAAUGGUUUUGGUGGAACACUACCAGUGGAAGGUAGGCUUUUUUUUUCUUUAAGAAUCAUUCCUUAUUUAUUUAAUUAAGAAUCAUCAGAGAGAUGAAAGGCCCUACAUCCUAUCCAACUUCAAUCAUCAAUGAUAUGAUACAUCAUCAUACAUGGCUUGUAACAAAUCCUUUUUCAUGGUUUUUAUUUAAUUAGUAACCUACUUAUCUAAUCUUCUCUUGUUGUCAUCUAGCUUUCACAUCUUUCCAACAACUCAAGGUCUUAGAUUUGAGCUGGAACCAUUUUGUUGGGAGUGUAACAUCAGAUAUACAUGCAUUAUCUUCUCUAAGAGUUGUCUCAUUCGCAUACAAUUAUCUCAAUGGCUCGUUACCAGAUCAUGGUAAGUUAUUCAAAACAUGCAUGAUUAUUGUGUUUCGGAUUGGUUAGGACAAAUUUAUACAUGCAAUGUUUUUAUAGUAUGGCUUAUAAAUUGGAGCAAGCCUUAUGUAACAUUACCUUUUUCACAUAGUUAAGCGUUCUUGUGCCGUAUGACCAUACAAGUGCAAGUUGUUAUAUAUGUUAAGGGGCGUCAUAAACCACAUUCUUUCUCUUUUGACAGGGUUGUGUGAGUUGAAGAACCUCCUUGAGUUGGAUCUUAGUGGCAACAUGCUCCAUGGAACUCUGCCUGAUUGUUUGAAAUAUCUAUCAUCUCUUAAGUUGUUGGAUAUUUCUUCAAACCAAUUCUCAGGGAUACUUAUGCCAUCGCUCAUUGCUAAUCUUACAUCUCUCGAGUAUAUUGAUUUUAGUCAUAACAUAUUUGAAGGUUCAUUCUCCUUCAGCUCCUUAUCCAAUCAUAUAAAGCUUGAGGUCGUUCGAUUCAGAGGCGAUAAUGACAAAUUUGAGGUGGAAACAGAAGAGCCUAUAGGCUGGAUUCCAAUGUUCCAGUUGGAAAUUCUUGAGCUAUCUAAUUGUAAUAUGAAUAGGUAUAAAGGGCGUGUUCUUCCAGGGUUUUUACUACACCAACACCAGUUACAAGAAGUAGACAUGUCUCACAACCACUUGGAGGGAAAAUUUCCAAAUUGGCUGAUUGAAAAUAAUACAAAUCUUGAAGUUCUUAAUCUAAGGAACAACUCCUUUACCGGUAUGUUGCUGCAUAGGAAUGCUAAUAUGCUGGAACUGGAUAUGUCUGGGAAUCGAAUGAUAGGUACUAUUCCCGAUGAUAUGCAAAAAUUCUUUCCCCACAUCCAACAUUUGAAUUUGUCCAGGAAUUCUUUAAGUGGUGCUAUCCCAUCUUCACUUGGUGAUUUGAGGGAUUUACGAGUACUGGAUUUAUCUAAUAAUGAAUUAUCUGGAGAAGUACCAAAGGGAUUGUUUACAAACAUAUCUGAGUUGUUUUUCUUAAAACUAUCAAAGAACAAGUUGCAGGGUCAGGUACUCUCAGGAAACUUAAGUUUAGGUAAAAUCCAAGAGCUCCACUUGGAUAGCAACUGUUUCACAGGUAAAAUUGCAAAUGAGCCCAGAAAAUAUAAUAAUCUGAUGAUUUUAGAUAUUAGGAACAACUUUUUUACUGGUAUGAUCCCUGGAUGGAUAAGCAACACAAGUGAGUUGUCUGAACUUGUGGUGAGAAAUAACAGUUUGGAAGGCAGGUUUCCUUGUGGACCAACUUUAUUCACUUUUCUCGAUAUCUCACAAAAUUCUUUUUCUGGUCCAAUCCCAUCUUGCUUAAACUUGCAAUAUGUGAAGCAUCUUCAUUUGGGUUCUAACAGAUUUACUGGAUCAAUACCCAAUUCCUUUCGUAAUUUGACUUAUGUUUUGACUUUAGACAUCAGUAACAAUGACUUGUCUGGAAGGAUUCCUAAAUUCCUUGGUGAACUAUCCAACUUAAGGAUUCUUCUCAUGAGAAAAAAUAAGUUUCAUGGUUCUAUUCCAAAACACUUGUGCCAAUUAUAUAAUGUAAGUUUGAUGGAUUUAUCCGACAACUCCCUUUCUGGUUCAAUACCUAACUGCCUAAAAAAUAUAACCGGGCCAAGUUACCUUGCAUUCCUUAAAAGAACCAUAUCAUGGUAUCCCAUGUCUUCCUCUUACGAUUAUAAUAGUGUUCUACAGAGGUGGCAGCCUGCCUAUGUCAAUAACCAAGGGUUUGAAACACAAGACGAAGUUGAGUUUACAACAAAAAGGCUCUUUCUCAGCUACAAGGGUGGCAUCCUUGAUUACAUGGCAGGAUUGGAUUUUUCCUGUAACAAACUUACAGGUGAAAUCCCACAACAACUGGGAUUCUUAACCCAACUUCUUGCUUUAAACCUGUCUCACAAUCACCUGACUGGACCUAUUCCUGUGAGCUUCUCAAAUCUUGCAAAAAUAGAGAGCUUGGACCUUUCUUCAAAUGGUUUGACCGGAAAAGUUCCAUCACAACUCAUUAAGCUUACAUCUCUAUCUACUUUCAAUGUUUCUCGUAACAAUCUCUCAGGCAGACUCCCAGAAAUGCAAGCACAAUUUGGUACCUUCACAGAGGCAAGCUAUGAAGGGAAUCCACUUCUUUGUGGACCACCACUCAUGAAGAAAUGCACAACUACUAAUUCACAGCUGACCAAUCCAUCAGAUGAAGAAGAAGACAAUGACAAAUGGUAUGAUAUCGACAUGACAUUUUUCUAUGGAAGUUCUGGUUCAACGUAUGCUGUGUUCUUGUUGGGCUUUGUUGCGCUUCUUUACAUCAAUCCUUAUUGGCGCAAAUGGUGGCUAGACAUGAUUGAAGACUAUAUGUUUACAUGUUAUUACUUCCUUUAUGAUUCAGUCAGCAGCUAGCUCUCCAUGCCCUUCCAUGAAUAGUUUCUCUUUAACUAAGAAUUAACGUGUGAUAGAAUAAAUGCAAAACUGCUUUGGUAUGUAUUAGUAAGUCUUUUGAUAUAUGCAUAUAUGAUGAUGCUUUUGCUUCCUUUUCUAUUAUGUUCUGGAUUUUUUUUUACAUUUAGAAUGGGGACUUCCAUCAAUUAUUGCUGAUAAUUAAAUCAAUGUCCUCCUUAUACUAUAACUGUAGGGCUGAGGUCAUGGAAUUAAGAUCAUGGUUGGUACUUGACUUCAGAACCUUUUCAAUAAACCUUUUCCAGGGCCACCAAUUAUUAACAAAAACAUGUUAACUAAGAAAACAAUUAAGUAGCAAUAUUGUUUUAGACUUUUAGCAGAUAUGGUGUUUAGUGAAGUCUAUUAAGUUAUGAUUGAGAAGUAACGACAGUUUUGUCUAUCAGUAUUACUAGAACCUUGAUCUACCAUGUUGCUUCAAUGCUUCAUAUUAAAAAAAAAAAAAAAAAAAAAAAAAAAGAUCUGGGUUCAUAUGGACCAACAGUUUAGUUGCAUAAAGAUAUCUGCUGAUGGAAUAUAUGAUUCUCACAUAACUAGUAUAAAUUACUACUACAAGAUGGGCAGCAAGGGAGUGAGGGAGAAUGAUUAAUUUGCAAUCUUAAGGCGUCUUAAUGCAAAAAUGAGUAACAGUGAUCAACCUACAGUGACAAUAACAUAAAGGAUCCAGGAAGCAUAAAACGGAGUAUAAACACCAAUGGUUGAAUCUGUACACAUAUGCAUUGGUUGUUAAGAUCUCCUUCCAUAAACUACAGUUUUGUAUAAACAUAAAACAGAGUACAAAUUAACGAUUGCAUCGUCAAAAGCAUACUAGACGUAAAUGUAAAGCUCUAAAACGAUGCUAAUAAUGAAAUCAUUCCGAUCUUGAUUUCUUCUCAUUCAAUUCGUUGUUCCUCAUCUUCCUUGUUAGUUCUAUUGUUUGUUUUCUGCCAUGCCGACUUCUGAUGGGUCUUCCGAAACCGAGAAGAAAAGCCACCGCCAAAGUCCGAUAAAAGUUGAUUUGCCUUCAUCAGCCAUCUUCUUUGCUGAUUACGAAUCUGAUAUAUCUGGAAUUCCCGUUCUAUGCCCUCCAUCUGCUCCACCAUCGGUUCUUGAUGUCAACGAAAAUGUAAUUUACCAAAAGAACGAAGUAACCAAUAGUCCAAACUUACAAAACUUAAAACUCUACUUCUUUUGUUGCAGAAAUCCCCCCUAACCAGUCGUUGGAGUCGAUAGAAGAACACACAAACACGCACAGCUUCCAUUGGUGACUCCGUUCAACUAUUGCAGGUACUUUCUGAUAUGAAAAUCAUGGUUGUCAAAAUCGCAAUAGGUAUGAAAAACGAUCCGGAUCGUAUUUGGGGUAGGAUCGCAGGUAGGAUCGUAGAUCAUAGGUAGGAUCGUAGGUAGGAUCGGGAUCCAAUCCUACCUUCCUUUGAUAUUUUUUUUUUAUUUUUUAUUUUAUUAUUUUUUUUUUGCAAAUGGAAUUUUUUUACCACUUUAUGUCUUUUACCCUUUAUCAAUCUACCAUUUAUCAUUUUUUAUUGUGACUUAUGACUAAUAUUUUGAAGUUUUUAUGACUUUUGAACGAAAAAUUAAAUGUUUGAAAUAUUUUUCAUGAUUAAAUAUUAUAAAUUAAAAUUAUAUUCUAUUUUGUGGGAUCUUAGGAUCUCGAUCCCGAUCUUGCAAACCCAAAAUCGAUCCAAGAUAGGAUCCCGAUCUUGACAACCUUGAUGAAAAUCCCCAAUUUUCUGUAGAUCUAGUGAAAAUACUUGCGACAUGCUAUAUAAAAAUCGUUGAUAUCCGUUACUAAUUAUAUAUCUCAAUGAUGUACAUAUGCAUUUAGAUUUUAGAUAUGAUAACAGUCACAUGUUUUGAUAAUUCUUACGAACUAUUAUGUUCUUUUACACGAUUAAUUAACAAAAUGAAUCAAUUCGUUACUAAUUCCAUUCCGAGAUUCGAGUUCAUUUGAAGAUUUCAGUGGUCAAAUUGGCCCAUUUUUUCCUUGGAAUCGACGAGGAUAAGUUUGGUUAUAGAUAGAAACACUUUUAUUAGAUUAUACAAAAUUUGGCAAGAUAUAUCCGUCAGCUCUUACACUCGUUCCCGAGUUUAACAAUAGAAAAGAAGAGAAAAGAAGAGAAAAGAAAAAAAAGUCAUCAGAGAAAAGAAAGGAAAGGAAAGGAAAACAAAAUUUUCUUUCGUGUUCCCGAGUUGGAGAGAAGUGGAAGGAAAGUGAAUCAUUUUUUCUUUUUUUCCAAAUCCUCCCAAAUUGGAAGGAAAGUUAGGAGGGAAAGUGAUCUUCUCAUUUCCCUCCACUUCCCUCCUUUAAUGAAACUCGGGAACACCAAUUUCUUUUAAUUUCUUCUUAUUUCCACUCAUUUUCUUUCCUUUCUCUCGUUAAGUUGAACUCGGGAACGGGGUGUUAAGUAGUAAAACCAGAAGCAUAAAUGUUAAUUUUGUAUUUCAAGAAUUACUAGGUUUUUCAAUAUGAAGGGACUCUAAUGCUAAAAAAUCUGGUUGAAAAUGUUGAAAUUUCAUGUUUUCAUGAGAAAUAGGCAAUUGCCUAAUGGAUGAAGGCAACAUCUCUCAGAAUUUUUGAUUUCUUUGAAGAACUAAUGGAUGCAUGUGUUGUUGGCAGUUGUGAUUGCUAAGAAACCAUUUAUACAUUAAUUUUUCCAAUCAAACCAUAAUAGUUUCAAACACUGUUUCCAAUUUAACCAUAUGCACAUGUCAAAUGGUUAGUUUGGAGAACUAACCGUAAAACCAGAUAUUGUAAUAGGUAUACAUGGUUAAUCUGAAAAACGUCUCAAAACUAUUAUGAAUUGAUUGGAAAAAGUAUAGCCUUUUGGUUAAACCAAAAACCUGUCUAAAAUAUAAUGUUUAUAAACACAAAAAUGUGUAAGUGCAUCAGUGCAUGUUAUUCAAAACUUAGAACUCAAUCAUGAAUGAUUAAAGAUGUAUAGCAUAUUUGAAAACAAAAAUCUUCAUUUUUUAACAUGGCAUAUAUCUUAUUGACGGUAUAAAUAACAAUAUUAUGUUCAUGAUCUUUUUUCCAGGUUGUUGAGGGAGCAAGUCUAUGUGGAGCUAAGAUGAUCAUUGGUGUUGAUGUGAAUCAAGACAAGUUUGAAAUAGGUAAUUUAAAAAGAAUCUUUAUAAAGCAUGGAAGCUUUUUUCUAUAGUUUUUUUUAUACAUUAAUUGAUCAUUCCUUUAUGUUAACAUGAAAUAAAUUCGGAUAACAUUGGGGAGAAAACCGUCAGCCAGGUAAUUAUUACAUACAAUAUAUAGGUGCCACUUAUCUUGCGUCGUUUUACUGUUCAUUUGUAGGUUUUUCUAUUUUGCACCGUUGUUUACUAUAUAAUAACCUUUGUUUGCAACUUUUAUAACAAAAGUCUCAACCUAGCCUUUUGUAGUUUAUGUUCGACGUUUCGAGAUACAUUUAGGGUAUAAUGUUUUUUACUCAAGGUUUUGUAGUUUUGUAGUUGGAAAGCCUUUUCAGUCAUUUAUUGUGUUAAUGUUUUUUUACUCCUUAUCAGGUUUUAAUUUGUUUCGAUGAGAUUUGUUGCAAUAAAGAAAUCAAUAGAAGAAUUAAACGGGUUAUAGAAAGGAUUUUAGAAUGUUGACAUGAUAAUAUGAGACAAAGGCAAUUCUAUUUUUUUUUUUAUGUAUGUGAUACGAUUCUUUAAAGGAGAUUAAAAAAUUGUGAGUUAUAUUAUCUAACAGGCCACUACAUGUCACUAAUAAAAAAAACAUCAACUAAACAAAACAUCUUCAAGCCGAGUACUAAUUUCACAAGUGAUUAGUAGAUUGAAGCACACAACAUGCAAUCUUAAUUAUAAAUGUUACCAUCUUAAUUUAAAAAAAAAUACAUUGUCUGAUCUUCUUUAGAGGUUAAUGCAACCAAAUUAAGAAAAGUACAUUGCCAUUUAGACCAUUUAUUUGAUUCCGCUUGGCGUGAGAGGUUUUAACUAGUUACAAUAAAGUCAAUGUCACUUUAAAAAAACAGCUUCAGAUUAAGCUUGGUGUACUAGCUGAAAAGCUAGCUGUUAGCCGAUAGCUGAAAAGCUAGUUGUUAAAUAAAAAGUUAGCUAACUGUUGAAAAAUAGCUGAUAAAAAUAACGUUCGGUAAAACUAGCUGAAAGAUAGAAAAUGACAUAAAAAAGCAUUUAAAAAAAUAUGUUUCUAUAAUUAAUUAAAGGGUAUAUUUGGAAAUUUUUUAAAAAGCUCCUAAAAAGCUUGUAUGAGUAGUUUUUUUUAAAAUGUAGCUUAUAAACUAGCUUAUAAGCUACUUUUUGGUUUGUCAAACAUAACAAUUUAAAAAAGCUCAAAAAAUAAGCUUAGCUUAUUAGCUAGUUGUGGCGUGUCAAACACAACUUUAAUAUCUCAUUUUUUAAAAGUAUAUAUCUCAUUGAAUAUACAAUAAAAAAAUGCAUGUAAAGUUGUAAACUAUGUAAAUAGUAAUUUAAAUUGUGAACUACAAUUCGGACAAAAACUAACGAAUGCACUGUGAUAGUUUAAAGUUGCCCUAAAAUUCUGCAAAGAUGUUGAAACAGAAAACCAAUACCCCCUAUUUAGGGGUAUGUAUCUCAUUGAAUACAUAACCAAAAAAUGCAUAUAAACUAUGUAAACAACAGUUUAAAUUAUGAAUUACAAGCUGGAAAAAAAAUCAAACAAACCGGACAAAUAACAAAGGUGCUAUGACAGUUCAAAGUUGUCUUAAAAAUUAUGACUUUUUAAUAUCCGGUUCGGUUCGGGUUUUUGGUCCAAACGCUCAUCCCAACAUUUUUUUUAUUACCGUUUGACCAUUUUAGUUAUUUUCUGUUGGAUCUUGCUUCAAAUCAUUCACAAGGAUACUUGUGUCAUCACUCACUGCAAAUCUCACGUCUCUCAAGUACAUUGAUUUUAGUCAUAACACGUUUUCGCCUAUGAUGCACGGAAACUUCAACUUGGUCGCCGUUCCCGUAUUCGAUACUCCAUGGAAACGGAUACUCCAUGGAAACGCCUAGGAAACGUUUCCAUGACGCAUCGGGUAAACACGAUACGUUUCUGUGCAGUAUCCUCCAAGUUUCCGACAAGUUUCCACCAAGUUUCGAUUUUUCUUUAGGGUUUUCAUGGGCCAUUUCAAUCCAACAAAGUCUAAUGGGCUAUAUUAAUCGACUCUUAACUUAAUACCCUACAAGGCAAAGCCAAUCGUCCCUCAAGUCUGUCUACUACCUCAUCAAUCAGACGAUCACUCAUCACAUUGAUCGCCAAACAGAAAUUAGCAAACCUGCAAACCAUUCACGGAUUCACCAAUUAAGAAAUCACUAAUCAGACACUAAUUUACAUAUAUUGGGANNNNNNNNNNNUUAAAUAUAUAUACAUAUAUAUAUAUAUAUAUAUAUAUAUAUAUAUAUAUAUAUAUAUAUGUUUUUCAUAUAUUGUCGUAUAUCUGUCGUAUCCAUAUCUUGAAUUUUUGAGUUUUGUCAUUUCCGGUUUCCAUUCCGUAUCCGUUUCCUGUUGCCAUAUCCGUUUUCGUGAAACUUAGGUUUUCACUCGACUCCUCCAAUCAUUCAUAGCUUGAGCUAAUUCUAUUUUCAAGUGACAAUGAUAAAUUUGAGGUGGAAAUCGAAGAGCCUACAGAUUGGAUUCCAGUGUUCCAUUUGGAAAUUCUUGAGCUAUCUAAUUGUAAUAUGAAAAUGCGUCCUGGGUUUCUACUUGUUGGCACAAGUUACGGGAACUAGACAUGUCUUACAACUCCAUGGGGGGACACUUUCCAAAUUGGUUGAUUUAAAACAAUAUGAAUUUGAAACUUCUUAAUCUAAGGAACAACUCCUUUAGCGAUAUACCACUGUAUAGGAAUGCCAAUAUAAAGUGGUUGGAUAUGUAUGGAAAUCACUUGAUAGGUACUAUUCCCAACCAAGUACCAAAGUUCUUUCCCCACACUAGAUCUAUCUGACAAUGAGUUAUCAAGAGAAGUACCAAACGAAUUUUUUGCUAACCUCUCUCAGUUGAGGAUAUUAAGACUAUCAAAGAACAAAUUCCACGGUCACAUACUUUCAGGAAGACAAUGAGAAAUGGUACGAUAUCGAUAUGACAUGUUUCUAUGGAAGUUGUAGUUCCACAUAUACUAUGUUGUGUUCUUAUUGGGAGUUGUUGCACUUCUUUACAUCAAUAUUGAUCCUCACUGGAGGAGGAGGUGGCUAGACUGGGUUGAAGCGUGUAUGUUUACAUGUUAUUACUUCCUUAUGAUUUAGUAAAGAAGCUCUCCAUUCCAUCCCAUAAGUAGGAUAUCCUUAAGAAUAUGUGUGACACAAUAAAUGCAAACUUGCUUUCAUAAGCAAGAAUAUUUAUCUGCUUUUUUAUAUAUGUACAGCGAUGUUUCUGCUUCACUUUCUGCUAUGUUUCUCCUGUGUACAUGACUUUUCUGCUAUGUUUCACUCUUCCAUGAGUUGAACCUUAAUUAUGUAAGAUACUGUUACACUUCUUAGCAGUUGAGAAGGAGUUGACUAUAUAUUGGCCAUACCUAUGUUUGACUUCUUAGUUGACAUCCUUAAGUGUUUUGUAAUAAAGGUCCUAGCUGGGGGUAUUCUGGUAAUUUCUCAGUUAGAUCAGUUAUUAGCUGAGUAUAAAUAAGAGGUCCUGUGUAAUUAGUCAUUAGCUAUUGUUUUGUUGAGUUAGAAGUCAGUUCUUGGGAGAGACUACCUUCUCCAAAGGUAGAAUCAUGUGUAAUCAUUCAGCUACAAGUUCCUAAUUCCAUUUUAUACUUGAUUCCAUUCCAUUCUAUGCUAAAUCCAACCUAGAUUAUAUCAGGUACAUAUUAUUAACUUUAAGCAAUAAAAAACCAAAAAAAGACUCGAUGAGCAUCAUGUUUCUUGCACAAGAUAAAACUAAGAACAGAAUCAACAAGGUGUUAAAAGAAAGUGGAUUUUAAAGAAAAGGAAGUUCAUAAAUCCGCCUGCAAUUUCACUUUUAAUUACACAAUCUAACCAAAAAAAAAACUAAUCACAAAAUUAGUAAAUCAAGAACAAACCUGAAUCUCUGCAUAAGGGUAUUAUUCACAGUAGCCCCUCCAUCCAAUGGGUUGGAAUAAAAUGAUCAUCUCUCUUGCAAAAUUCGAGAAGUCAGACAAUGCAUAGCCUCUGUUCGAUGAAAUGCCUCAAAGAAGCUUUAUUUCUUGAAAUAACGUGAUAAGGGGUUAUGUAAAAACAUGGAAUUCUGGAUCAAUCCGUUUGAUAAGGAUUAUGUGAGUGUAUAACCAAUUCUGGAUCAAUCCGUUUGAUAAGGAAAUAAUAAUAACUUUAACUACAAUUAAUUAUGGAAAUAUAUUAAAUCAAUUAUUAAACCCUUAAAAAAGGGUUAUCAGUUUCAAACCCUUAUUAACGCAUCGUCAUCUUCAUCCUACAUAAAACCAUCACUGAAACCCAUUACCAGGUUCAUCAUUGUCGCUAGGACCCUAACCCUCGCAAACAUAUGAUUCUAGUAGAUGCCUAGCUAAUUUCCGCUUCUCAUAAUGGAGUUUUUUGACAUUAAAAGCAAGCUUACGUGAGAACAUGUUGGUGAUUUGUUAUCAUCAAUGUUAUUUAAGUGUAAUAGGAUUACUUGUUUGACUAAAAAUGAUCUUGAUAAAUAUUAAACAAGUAAGGAAGGUGUGGAGUACACGCUUGUUUAAGUUUGAUCAAGUAUCAAAGUACACUGUCAUUUAAGGGCGAAACCCCUGAACGAACGGGGGUCCGGGGCAGCGCCCCUGGGAGCGGGGUCCAAGGGGCGGCAGCCCCUGGCGAGGUCCAAGGGGCAGAGCCCCUGGCUGGGAUCGAGCUGGUUUUGACUUUGCAUUAAUCCUUAUACCAAACCCGGAUUUAUAACAGUUUUGACUGUUGAGAAAAACUGUUAUAUGACAGUUUUGACAGUUUUCAGACAAGGAAUGUAUAUAACCAAUUUUUAGUCAGUUUUCUGGUACUCACGAAAAUUACACCAUCUCAUUCUCUCUUUCUUUCUCUUUGAUUUUAUCUGAGUCUUAUCCAAUUGAGAAUUUGGGAGUACCACCCAAAUACUUCGAUUUGAAAGUGAUUAUCACGAUUCUCAGAUUUCCAAGUGCCACUAAACCAUAUUUCUAACAGAACACAAAUCAAAUUGUUUCCACAACCUCCGAUAACGGUGAUGGAGUCUCCAUCGUUAUUGUAGUUCUUCUAUCCAUUGGUUUUGUUGGCUUGUCAAGUCUCAUUAUUAGGGUAAUAUAUUGUAAACCACGUUAGAUUAUGAGUAUUCAUAUGUAAAUUCACAAGUUUUAUCAUAUUUUUUUAAUAUUUGUUGGUUUAGAUUUAAAGUCAUAAGGGAUGAUUUUAAUUACAAAUUAUCACAAUGUUGAAUUUUCAGAAAAGAAAUGGUCGGUGGAACUUCUGAGGUGAAACACAUUAUUUUUCUACUAUCAAAUUUAGUAUCUGUUCUUGAAGUUAUUCAUAAAUUUAUAAAGUUAGUAAACCUCGUCUAGAAUGAUAACAUGAAUUUGAAAAUGUAGGUCUAAACUCUAAUCCACAACAAAUAUGUUAUCAAUUUCCAAUUUUUAAAGAUGACAUGAAUGACUUUAAAAGUCAAAGUGUAUAUUCUUUAGUGGUUUGAAAACAUUUUUUUUGAGAAGCUUUAAUAAUCACAGUAGCAUUUUCAAUAAAUUAUCCCAAUUAGAAAAGUGUGGACAAAAUGUGUAACUAAUGAAUGUAAUUACAUGUUUGUUACAAUUUAAACUACAUGUUUAUAAAGAAUCAAAAUUAUUAAAGAAAUAACUCUGAUAUGGAUAAAAGAAGGUUAAUUUGUUAGCAUUUUUUUUAAUUUUAUGAUAAAUAACCGAAUAUUAUGCAAUAAAAAAAGUUUAUUUCUCAAUAUUCUUGGAGAAUUUGCUUAUUUUUGUUUCAAAGUAGUUGUGAUUCUUAUUAUUGUUUUAAUUUUUUGUAAGUAUGAAAGAAAAAAUAUUAUAUAAAUUGAUGUUCAAUACUUUUGCAGAUUGAUGUUAGAAUAAAACAAAAAAUCAUUAAACAAAAGAAAUCUCUUUUGAUUCUUAAAGAAUGAAUUAUUACUCUUAAAGAAUUACCAAUGGUUGAUGGUGGUGGUUUGCAAUGAUGAAGUAUUGAUAAUGGUGUUUUUAUGCAAGUAGAUGGAGGAGAGGAUGGUGAUGCAUGUGGUAAUCGAUAUCGAUUGGAGAAAUAACCAUCAACACCCUCUUGCUUGAACAAUGAAACAACCGACAAGCGAACACCACAGACAAAACACAAACUAUAUUCAUCACCAACUUUUGAAUAUAUUCUUUCAGAAUUGUUAUUCUUUUAUAAAUUGUAUUCUUUCAGAAUGCAAUUUAAUCUUUAAGAGUAUAUCAUAUUCCUUUCAAGAAUGUUUCGUAUUCCUUUUCAAGAAUGUAUUUUAUUCUUUCAACAAUAUUCUUAGCAUCAGUUUCUUUUUAAUUCUUACAAAAUGUACUUGUAUCAUAUUUUGAGAAUGUAUGCAAUUUAGUUUUAUUUUUUAAGAAUGUUCGUGGUUUAUGAAAUGAUAUACAAGUCUCAAGUUCUCUAUUCUUUCAUUUGUAAUUUUUAAUAAUAAUUAUUAUUAUUUUCAUACAAAUCGUUAUUCUUCAAGAUAUGCAUUCAUAUUCUUUAAGAAUGUUGAUUCUAAAAGAAAAUCUUGAAUGAAACUGGAAUUUUUUUUGGACGCACAGAAUGAAAAUCAUAUUCCUAAAAAUCUUGUUUAAUUUGAAUAUGUUGAAUAAAAUCCAACAUUUCAUUUAAUUUUUCUUAACUAGUUUGAAUUAGUUGCCUAAAAUAUAUAUAAUCUUAAAUUUCUCUCUCUUAAUAAAUGUUAUAUUUUUCCAUUUAAUUAAUUAAGUCAAAUUAUAUAGUAAAUGCUAGUACAUGAUAAUAUCAUGUAUCCUUGGAUCAAAACCUUUUAUUUUUUCUCAUCUAAUGGUUACAAUUUGGUCACACAUUCACAUGAUAUUUGUGAUUUAUAUUUGAUCCUAACCCUANUUGAUCUUGAAUUGAUGAAUUAUGUAGAAUUAUGCUAUUAAUUAAUAUUCAAAACAUACCCGGUUUAGCACAUAUAAAAUGUUUUACAUGCUUCAUUACAUAUAUGUUCAUAUACCAAGCAAAGUAAAUCAAACCAGAAGUUUAAGAUUGUGAGUGUUUCAAAAAAAAGUCUUCAUUAGCUUACUAAAAUGGAGUGUUGGUGUUUGAGUAAGCGCAAACCAUGGUUAUAUUGGUUGUUGAUGAUACAUAUGCUUAUGGUGGUCUGGAAAAUACAAGGGGAUUGUAUAGAAGAGGAGAGAAAGGAACUACCGGAAAUAAAAGCCUCCCAUAUAAAGUCAUAUGAUUUUGAAAUUGACGAUUUUCUCCCAACCUGGGUUGAUUAUGGCAGUAGUUCUCCCGAGGAUGGUGGUCGAAACUGCUGUGACUGGGAGAGGGUCAGCUGCAACACAACUACCGGGCAUGUAACAGAGCUUUACUUGUACAAUUUAAGAGGAUUAGAUGCUUACUGGUAUGAAGUGAGAGCAGGUUGUGGCCAUUUAAUGUUUCCUUGUUUCCUCAUUUUAAAGAGUUGACAAGUCUCAAUUUAUCACAGAAUUCUCUUGAUAAAGAGUUCAUGAAGACAGGUACAAUGUAUUUAACUUCUUUUGUAUUUCUUUAACCCCGUUCCAACAUCAUUUUUUUUAGCAAGACAUUCGAGUAAAUUAAUCGAAUCGGUUCAAAUUAGUGGACACAAAAUCCAACUAGUUUAUGCAUUCAAAGAUAUACUGAUUGUUUGAUUCUACCCAAAAGGUUCACUUUCAAUAAGAAAAGACUAGGAUGCCUAUGUUAAAAAAUUCUUUUUCAUUUGCAGGACUAGAAAAGUUUUCGAGUUUGAAGAAGUUGGAGGUACUAGACCUCAGUAUGAAUUAUGAUAUUGAUAACGACAUCCUUCCAUCAUUGAGGACACUCACUUCACUAAAAAUCUUGGAUCAUCAAAGUAAAACUGUAAAACAAAUUUUACUUUGAGUUUGUUAUUCACUAUCUUCAUGACCAUGGUUUCUUUUAUAAUAACUACCUUCCUUUUUACAGCUUGUAAGAGCUUAUCGAGAUUGAAAAGGCUCGAGAAUAUAAAUCUCUCCUAUAAAAAUUUCAACAAGAGCAUCAUAUCAUGCCUAAGGGCCCUUCAUCCCUCAAGAUUCUUGAUCUAUCCUAUUCAAUUUCACUGGGAAUUUCCUUUCCUGUCCAAGGCAUGUUUAUUUCAAAUUAGUCAUCAUUAAACAAACUAAAAUACUAAAUUCCAUCGUCAUUAUUAUUUAUUAAUUUCUAUUUCUUGCUAAUUGUUUAACACGUCUUUGAAUUUCAAAGUUUCACGAUUUGCCUCAUUUGAAAGUCCUCCUCUUGAAAGGUUGUAAUUUCAGUGGAACACUACCAAUGGAAGGUAGCAGUGUGUUUUCGAUUCCUUAAUUUACAGCAUUAUUAUUAGUGUAAGAAAAUUGGUCAAGUACUUACCAACUCAUUAGAAAGAUUAAAGGCCCCACAAAUUAUCAAGCCUGAACCAUCAAUGAUAUAUACGUUACUUGUAACACAUCCUUUUUCAGGACUUUUGCUUAGUAACCAACAUAUGUAACCCUCUCUUGUUGUCAUCCAGGGUUUGCAUCUUUCCACCAUCUUGAGGUCUUGGAUUUGAGUUACAACAGUUUUGUUGGGAGCAUCCCUUUAGCAAUACAUGCAAUAUCAUCCCUAAGAGCGCUCUCCUUCGCUAACAAUGAACUCAACGACUCAUUACCCGAUCAAUGUAAGUUAUCUAAAAUGUGCAAAAUUAAGUGUCUGGGAUUGCUUAGAACAAAUGUAUAAAUGCAAUGUUUUUAUAAUACAGCUAACCUUCGGUAACAUUACCUUUCCAUAUGACUAUGCAUGCGCAAGUUAUAUUUAUUUCUUGUGCGGUGAACCACAUUCUUUCUCUUUUGGCAGGGUUGUGUGAGUUGAAGAACCUCCAUGAGUUGGAUCUUAGAAACAACAUGUUUGACGGGAUUCUGCUUCAAUGUUUCAACAAUCUAUCUUCUCUUGAGUUGCUUGAUAUUUCCUUAAAUCGAUUCACUAGGAUACUUCCACCAUCACUCAUAGCUAAUCUCACAUCUCUCAAGUACAUUGAUUUUAGUCAUAACAAAUUUGAAGGUCCGUUCUUGUUCAGUUCAUUCUCCAAUCAUACAAAGCUUAUUGUAGUUGGAUUAAGAAGCGACAAUGACAAAUUUGAGGUGGAAACAGAAGAGCCUAUAGAUUGGAUUCCAGAGUUCCAGUUGGAAGUUCUUGAACUAUCUAAUUGCAAUAUCAACGGGCAUAAAGGACAUGUUGUUCCUGGGUUUCUAGUUCACAAACACAAGUUACGAGUAGUAAACAUGAAUGACAACUCCUUGAAGGGACACUUUCCAAAUUGGUUGAUUAAAAAUAGUACGAACCUUGAAGUUCUUCUUCUAAGGAACAACUCCUUUGGUGGUAUGCCAUUGUAUAGGAGUGUCAAUCUGCUGGAGUUGGAUAUUUCGGGAAAUCACAUGACAGGUGCUAUUCCAGACAAGACACCAAAGUUCUUUCCAAACAUAAGUUGUUUGGAUUUUUCCAGGAAUGCUUUAAGUGGUGCUAUCCCGUCUUCCAUUGGUGAUUUGAGCGAAUUAUCGGUAUUGGAUUUAUCUGAUAAUAAGUUAUCAGGAGAAGUACCAAAUGGGUUAUUUACAAACGUCUCUCAUUUGAGGAUAUUGAGACUAUCAAUGAACAAAUUGCAUGGCCAGGUACUCUCAGGAAACUUAAGCAUGCGUGACAUUGAAAGGGUUCACCUAGAUAACAACUAUUUCACAGGGGAAAUUGGAACUAAAAGCAUGGAAAAACUUGAACGUCUGUCUGUUCUUGAUAUUAGCAAUAACUUUUUCACAGGUAUGAUACCUGAUUGGAUAAGCAGCAUGAGUUACUUAUCCGAACUUGUGGUUAGAAAUAAUAGUUUUGAAGGUCAGUUUCCUUAUGGAUCCACUCCUUCCUCAUUUCUUGAUAUCUCACAAAAUUCUUUCUUUGGCCCAAUCCCAUCCUGCUUAAAUUUGCAAAAAAAUGAAGCAUCUUCAUUUGGGUGGCUAGACUCCGUUGAAGAUUGUAUGUUUACGUGUUAUUACUUCCUUUGUGAUUCAGUAAGGAAGCCUUAUAUGAUUUUCUGCAAGUAGGACUUGUUUGUUGAGAAAUUAUGGUACAAUAAAUGUGAAUUUGCUUUUGAUUUACAUACGAUUAUACGAAGAUGUACAAGAAGAGCAUAGUGAUUUCAAGUAAUCUUGGAUCCAAUUUAUGCACAAGGGUUUGAUCUACGCGAGAUAGCAAAGUUGAACUUGUUGCUUAGAAUCUAUUAGGAAAUAAAAUUUGUAUUGCCUUCCUGCAUGAUGCAUUUAAUAACCUCUUCCCUAUGUCCAGGAAAUGAAAUAUUCCUAAGCUAUAAAAUUUUCAAGUAUAGAUUAACACUUAUGGUUAUUGUUUUGAAUAUGUUCUACUAAAUUCUUCACCAUUUUUGUUUAUGUACCGGUACUAUUGAUGACCAAUAUAGUCAUAGGGAAUGCAUGUCACCCAUACAUAUAGUUGAGGGGUUUAAGUAUGAUGGAAAAAACACAGCCACAAUGGUAAAUAAUAAUGCGGAAUACAACUUCGUUUAACUAAACUUUUUCCGUGUUGAAUGUAUAAUCACAAAAGAAUCGAUGCCUUUCAUUGAUAAAGGAGGGAAUUAAAUACCCACUAUACAGAGUGAUUAUAGGAGGAAAUUGGGGAAAAUCUAGGCUAAAUAAGGAAGAAGUAAUCUACAUUAAUUACACAGUAAAUAUAAGAUCGGGAAUAUACAGAAGGUAUAUAUUUUGGUUAAUAGAAUGAACCUUUGAGGAUUCAAACAAAUAGAGUAUUUUCACUUGCAACAAAACAACCCCAAUGAAAGUUAUAUGAUCAAUAGAAUCAACCCAAAACCGUGAAGGAUAUUUGGGUCCAAAAGAUGCAGAAAAAUAGAUAGUUGAAAUUCAAUUGAUUAGGAUAGUUCUGAUUCUGUAAUUGACUCACAAGUUAUGCAUAUUAAUCUAAACAUUAGGUUAUGACAUAUUUUAUCUAAGUAGGUACUUGUAAAUGUUCAUUUCUAAACAACACGCAUUCACCAAGUUAUUAAAUCCAAUGGUAAGCCCUAUGAAAAUAACCUAACUUUUAUAGUUUACACCCAAAGUAAGCAUCAAGGUAGUAACCUGAGAGGUUGCAUAGAUUUCUAUGUGAAUGUUCCCAAACAACACCCAAAUUUCUCAUUAUGUUGGAAGCGUAAGAAUGUGCAAGUUCUAGUUUACAUUACAAUUGUUUUCUAUUAUUCAAGAUUGGAGGUCAAGUCGAUCAAGGUUGGGUGUCAAAUCAACAAAAACAUAAAUAAAUUUAAUUUUUGUUACUUAGUAACGAUUUAUAAAACAAUUACGGAUUUUAUAAAAUAGAAUAACAAGAAUGAUAAUAAUCCUAGUUCUAGUGAUCAACAUGAACUAAAACUUCAUCAAAGAUUAGUUAAAAGAAAAACUGAAAUUACCAGACAAAGAUAUGAACAUAACAUCAAAUCAUAUGAUUAAAAGCACAACAUGGUAUUGUCUUUGCAGAAUCGGAAGUAAGUUCUAGCCAAGCAUGACUAGAAACAUAGAAAUCACAAUUAAAAGAUAAAAAUAAAACUUACAAAAACUGGAAAUAAAUGUUCUAAGUGACCUUCAAAUGGUGGAAGAAUAUGAGAUAUUCAAGGGAUAUCCCUGGAAUAGAGUGUUUCCAGGAGAUCAAGUAUGUGUAAAACCUCGUUCCUUGUGUAUGGAACGAUCAUCUCUAUUUAUAGUAGAUGUAGUUCAAAUAUUAAAUUGAUAAGUAAAUCAAGAAAGCAUUUGGAACAUCAUAUGAAUCAGCUAGGAAAUCACAUAAGAUCUGCUGGAAAGGGGAUUGGGAAUAAAAUAAAGUCGGUGCGGAAGAGUGAGUUGGAACUGCACGUGGGUUGGACACGGGGUCGUGUCACUUUUGCCUUGUGUGACACCGGUCGUGUCACUUUUGCCUUGCUAUUUUUGGGAGUGACGACAAUUUGUGUAAGGUAAUAAGAAACAGUUGUUUGUAGUUGGAAAUCCUUUUUUAUAAUUUUUUUUAUAAAUGGAUGGGGAAAUAGUGAUAUAAGAUGGCUUUUAUUUAUAUAUAGGUUUGGGACAGAAGAUGCUUGAGAUCAAAAGGAAAACCUGCUGGAAUCCUGAUGGGGCAUCUGGAAGGAAUUACAUUUUUUAUCAACCAUGGAGAUGGUCGGUAUUUCAUUUUAUAUAUAUUCGGUUAUAAUUAAAUGGUAAUUGCACUUUAGAUUAUAUGAUUCGAUUAGAAUUUGUUUUUUUUUUUGUUUUUUUUUUGUUUUCUUUUUUUUUUUUUUUUUUCGCUUUUUUUAAUAGAUGUUUUUCUCGAUAUGCCACUUAUUCUGACAGAACAUGAUAUCAUGACAAUUAUUCUCAUAAUAUGAUUUCAUGAUUCGGGGAAUACUUGAUCAAGUGACUUAAAUAUUACAUUAUGUUAGAAUAAAUUAAAAAUCUUUAAUGUCUAACAUAUUCUAUUAUAAUUUAUAGUUGAUUCUUUUAAAAUAUACUGAAAGUUAUAAAAUUUUAAAUUUAAUCUUUUUUUUUAUUUAGGUUUUGAAGGGGCUAUCAUUGAUGUGGAAAAUGAAGAAAACAAAGAAAACGAGAGUAUUCUAGCAGAAUGUAGUUAUUUUUUAAGAAUUUUAUUCAUUUUUGUUGAUAUACUUUUGGAAUAUGUAUAAUUAUAUUAAAAUGUAUAAGACUUUUAGGUUGUAAGAAUAUGUAUGGAUUUGUAUUUAAGUUCGACGUAUAAGAAUAUAUUAGAAUGUUGUUAUUUUUUAACCUCAGAUUCAAUAAUUUUGUUAUUUUUCAAUAGUAUCUAAUAGAAUAAAAUUUUGAAAGAACAUCAUUCUAACAAAAAAAAAUAUUCUGACAGAAUAAAAUCGAUUAUUUUUACAGAUUAGGUUAGGAUUAAAAUUGAAUUAAUUAAAAAAAAGUCAGAUUUUUAAAAUUAGGAGAAUUAAUUAUCCCUAAAAAUCCAAAAUUUUCCUUUUAUAAUUGUAGUUAAUUGUCCAAAAUACCCUUUUGCUAAAAUUUGUAUGAUUAUAUGGUACAGGUUAUCUCAUUGUAAUAUCAUAGACCCUCAGAUCUUGACUUUUGAUUAUAUUUCAUCCGAUUGUCCAGAUCUGUGAAUUCUGGCAUGUAAUAAUUACUAGAAACAAAAUAAUCUAAAUAUAUAUAUAUAUAUANNNNNNNNNNNNNNNNNNNNNNNNNNNNNNNNNNNNNNNNNNNNNNNNNNNNNNNNNNNNNNNNNNNNNNNUAUAUAUAUAAACAAGUUUUAAACGAAUUUGUAAAAAAAAAAAAAUAAAAGAUCUAGACCAUAUUCAUAACAAAGUUUAAGUUGGAAAAAAUUAGCAAUAAAAUUUAAUAUGUCAAACUAAACAUAAAUAGUAACGAACUUUGAAGAUGUGCUAUUGGGCUAAUGUUUUGGAUCUUGGAACAAUUAGACCCAACGCAACUCAGAGCCCAUGUCGGGAGUUGGAAUUCAAGCCUAAAUCAUUGGAAAUUUGAAAAUCGCUGGGUCCAAUAUCGGUGGUAAACUGGUAAUUUACCCACAGAAACACCUUUCGAGUUUGCAUAACGGAUCAUGAAAAAGGAGAACUGCCAAAAGCUUCUGUUGAGAUGUAAGAAAUCAAAAGAGAUAGCGGGUGACUAUUGAAUAGAUGGAAUAGAGUUAUGUGUUUGAAUUUUGACGAUUGACUUAUGACUUGUCGAUGGAAAUUAUUGAACAUGGACUUGAUGAAUUACGACUUAUGGAGAAGUAUCAUACAUAUUCAUUUCAUCUCAUGAUAAAUGUUCUCCAUGCCUCAUUACAUAUCUGUUCAUAUACCCAUCCAAACCAAACCAGAAGUUUAAUAUAUUGAGUGUCUCUAUAAGGCCAUCAUUAGCUGCAAAAAUGGAGCGUUGGCUUUUGAGUAAGCGUAAAUCAUGGUUAUAUUGGUGGUUGAUAUUGAUGAUGAGAACUAUUCAAAUGGUCGGGCAAACACAAGGAGAUUGUAUAAUAGAGGAGAGAAUGGCACUACUCGAAAUCAAGGCCUCCCAUAUGAAGUCAUGUGAUUCUGAAAUUGACGAUUUUCUCCCUACUUGGGUUGACUAUGGCAGUAGUACCCCUGCGGAUGGUGGCAGCGACUGUUGUAAGGGGGGCGGGCCCUUGGCGGGUGUCCCAAAUUCAGUUGAACUUAUUGAAUUUCGGAGGGUUCAAAUGUAAUUUCGUGUGGUUAUAAACUGAUAACUUCCUUAUCCAAAUUCAGUUGAAUUUUGAAUUCUGAGAGAUAUGAGAACGCUCUCUCUGGUCAUUGAAGAAUCUAGUGAUUAUAUUUUGUCUGUUUACCCUAUUUCUAACACCUUCAAGAUUCUUUGAAAUUUGAAAAAAUGUUUAAUGGGCAAUUUUUUUCUAUGAGAAUGGAGACUUGGAAGUUCGUUGCAAAAGUCAACAAAUGUCGUGUCAUAAGUUUUUGGGACAAGUUGAAGGAGUGGGUGCCAAUGGAAUAGAUGUAAUAGAGUUAUAGUUAUGUGUAGCAAUUUUGACCAUUGACUUGAUGACUUGAGGUAAAUAAUGCAAUUAAUAUUCAUACACAUUGACUCCGUUACGUAUCAAAUGUUUAUCAUGCCUCAUUACAUAUUUGUUCAUAUACCAAGCAAACCAAACCAAAUGAUUAAAACAGAAAGUUUAAUUAAUAUUGUGAGUGUCUCUACAAAUUAAGCCAUCAUUAGCUACCAAAAUGGACUGUUGGGCUUUGAGUAAGCGUAACUCAUGGUUAUAUUUGUCGUCGAUGAUACAUAUUCUUAUGAUCUGGAAAGCACAAGGAGAUUGUAUAGAAGAGGAGAGAAAGGCACUACUUGACAUCAAAGCCUCCCAUAUCAACUUAUAUGAUUCCAAAAUGGAUCAUUUUCUUCCCACCUGGGUUGAUUAUGGCAGCAGUACCCCUGGGGAUGGUGGCGGCAACUGUUGUGAUUGGCAGAGGGUCAACUGCAACACAACCACCGGACAUGUCACAGAGCUUUCUUUGUUCAAUUUGAGAGAGAGAGACGUUUACAGGGAUCAAUUCGAGCGCAAGUUGUGGCCAUUGAAUGUUUCCUUGUUUCUUCAUUUUAAAGAGUUGACAAGUCUCAAUUUGUCAUAUAAUUUUCUUGAUAAAGAAAUUAUAAAGACAGGUACAACGUGAUUAUUGCUUUAGUAUUAUUUCUUUCACAUGGUCCCAACAUCAUACUUUUGAGCAAGACAUUCCAGUAAGUUGACUAUCCAAAUUCAUGAACAACAUCCAACUAAUUUAUGCACUCAUAGAUGCUUGUCAGGUAACUUAGUAGUUGGAUAAUGUUUUUCUAUAAACAAAAAACCAAACACAAGACUUUAUUUGUACUUUCAGAUCCUGCAAUUCAUGCCAUAACUUGUUAUUAUUAAUCAACUGAGCCUGAGAGUUACCCUUUUAAUCUCAAAAGACUAGGAUGCCUACGUUAAAAGCUUUUCUCUUUAAUUUGCAGGACUUGAAAGGUUGUCGAGUCUGAAGAAAUUGGAGGAACUAGACCUCAGCAGGAAUGAUGAUAUUGACAACGACAUCCUUCCAUCUUUGACCACACUUACUUCACUCAAAAUCUUGAAUCUUAGCUACACUAGCUUGAAUGGAAACCUCCCUAUCAGUGGCACGUUUUCAUCUUUUUUUAGGUUAUUAUACACAAAUGCAUAUUAUAGAGAAACUUACACCCUUUUCAAACAAAUUGCAGAAUUUGCAGCUUUAGAGAACUUGGAGAUGUUGGAUCUAAGCAAUUGUCAAUUCAAUGGUACCUUGGAGAUUCAAGGUAAUCAAUAUCAUCUUAAUUAAACCCAUCAUGCCAGUAUAGUCACGUAAAGUGGCAAGCACAAAAAAAAAAUUCUAUUAAAAAAAAAUCUUUUUUUAUUUAUCCAAAUUCAAUCCUAUUUCUAUGUAAAAAAUUUCAAUCUGUUGGGGGCAUCUCCCUCCAUUCUCUUAUACUUGCGUCGACCACUAGCCACCAUGGAUUCAUACACAAAUCCCUCUUUUGCAACGUUACAAGACCAUAAGAGAAUGACUCUUCCAUGUGUUGGAGUUUGAAAUAUGGCCCUUUUCUUUUCUUGGGUCAAAGUAAGGAGGACUUACCUUUUUCAAUGAAUGAAUAACAAUAUUAAAAAUGGAUAUAAGUAUAUACUUGUAUGUGCUCUCCUAAACAACUUUGUUGUGUAUCAAAUUAGAGCUUACAAAUCCAUUUGCUUCAAUUCCUAAAUGUAGCUUCUGAAAGGGUUUCCAUAUUGACGAAGUUGAAAACUUUAAAUCUUGGGUCCAGCAGACGCUUCAAUCUUUUCGACAAUCAGUUAUCAUGGCCAUUUCCUGCUCAAGGUAUGUGCUAUGACUGUAGAUUGUUAGUAUAUCCCACAUUGCAUUCAAGGUCCAUAAAUGUCUAUAUGUGUUGGAGUCCCCCUUCUCUCCAUAAGGGCUCUUUUGGAGAGUAAACCAAGGACCACAUAUGUACAUGUACUUGAAGAGUUGUACUUCUAAAGUUGUUGGAGUAUCAAUAUUAGAUGCAUGAGAACCUUAUAGUGUUUGUUGGAUGUUGUCAUAUCUAUGUGUGAACUUUAUUCAUUUAGAAUUAUAAGUGUUUUGGUUUUAUUAACUAAAUUAACAAUGAGAUACAAGGUGAAAUUGAGGGUAUGGAUGACAAUGGGACGAGUAUUGAUGAUCCCAAUCCCAUACUUGAUUAUAAAAUUGUGUCCCAGACUUGAUCACCCGGUCAGUAAACACCCAUCUGGUUUGUGGUUAUACUCAUAACCGCACCCAUUUAUGAUCUUAAUAAGUUAAAUCGUUGGGAUUUUUAUUACCUAAAACACAAAAACAGUGGCAUCCAAAAAAAUGACUUUGAAUUUGUAAUAAUUUUAAUUUCCAACAACAUCAACAAAUUUAAUCUCAAAAAAUGUUACAUAUAUAUAAUCAUCACCAUAUAAAAUUUAUAAUAUUUAUAAUUUUAGUUUUGCUAAAACUUAGCAUCAACAACAAGCCUUAUAGUUAUGACUUAUGACCAUCUUUUUAGAACAUUUGUAGUUAUCAUUUAGAGUAAAUUACAUAAAUAGUCCUUGUGGUUUAGUUAGAAUUGUAGGUUCGGUUCAACCUUUGAAAAAGUUGACAGAUCGUGUCUUUUUGGUUUCAAAAAAAUUUGCAAUAUCCAUCCCCGAUCCAUAUAAAAAGACUAUUAUAUCAUUUAUAAUAUAUUUUUUUUCAUUUUCUUUUUUUAUUUAUAAUUCUAAUAAUGUAAAACUAAGAGAGGACCCACACACUACCACCCCAUCCUAUACCCCCGCCCCUACACCAACCCCAUCAUCUUCUUACUCCUCUCUCUCCUUCACUGCCUCCCCUACCCCUUCCUUGUUCCUAUGACAAAAUUGAAACUCAUCUCCUGUAAUCAAAACAAUAAAAUCAAAACUUUAGUUCAUUAAUAAUGAUUAUCUAUCCAUUUUGAUGUCAAUCUCUUCGAUAUAAACUUCCAUUCUUACCAUGAAAAGAACUUAAAAAAUCCCCAAUCAUGGCAACUCUGUUUGUUGUUCUAGCUCAUCUGGUAGAAACUAAUGGCUCAAUUUUUUUGCACUAUUUAGAUUCAUGUUUUUCAGUUGAAAAAAAGAAGCAAGCAUAAAAUGUUAGUGUAUCUCAUAUUAGUACGACAUGAUUCAUUAUGUCUAUAUAUAUGUUGAACUCUCCCUUUCUCCACAAGGACUCUUUUGGAGAGUUAACUAAGAACUCCACGUAUAUCUUAUAUGUUAGUGUAUCACAUUCAGUGCGGUACGAUUAAUAUGAUUAAUAGAUAAGUAGGCCCCCCACCACCAACAACAACCACCCCUUGCUAAAACAACCGACAACCACUAUCACCACCGAAUCAGUUUGGCUACCAUAUACCACUAAAAUAGAUAAAGCAUUUUUCAAGGUUCUAAAUUGCAUGAUCUAUGGCGUGCCAGCAAGGUCAUGCCUCAAGUUUUACAAACCAUAACAAGUCAUGACGUUUUUCAAUACGUGACUUAAGGCGACAAUUUUGUAUAUAUAUAAAAAAUACAUAGUUAUAGAUUUUUAUAAAAUAUACCAAGUGUUUAGAAGAUUUAUAUCCACACCUAAUAAAAAAAAGUUAACAAAAACUCAAUGAUUUCGUGUCCGUAGAGAAAAAAAAAGAAAAAAAGAAAAAAAAAUACAUGCCUUGAAAAAAAAAACUCGCACCUUGAUGCGCCUUGGCAGGCGCCACGCCUAACUUCGCUACCUGAAGGUUUUCGAGACGGCGUAACCACGCCUUGACAUCAUGGCGUGCCUUUUAGAAACCUGCAUUUUUACACAUUACAUGUUCAUAUUCAUGGAAAUGUGUAAAUUUGUGUAAUAAACUUACACGUAUAACAGUUUACAGAAUCUAGUCUUAUAAGGUUUACAAAUACAAACAUGAUUAUAAAAUAUUAGAAGCCCACAAAUUUACUUAUCUAACGAGUCUUCUUUGUUUCAUCCUCAUUCAAUAUUGAUUGACAAAAACAAAGUGAUUGUUCCUCUGUUAACCCCAUCCUCUUUCAUAACAUGCAUUUUGCUAAAAUGUACAUCUAAAAAUUUGCCUGAAUAUAUAAUUGUGUGUGUGUGUGAGAGAGAGAGAGAGAGUGUGUGUGUGUGUGUGUGUGUGUGUUCUUAUUUCUUCAACUCAUGAAUCAAUACAGACUACAAGCUACGAUACAUAGACAGAAGAAACAAAUAUAACUGAACAAUUAACAAAAUUACAAAAAUGCCCCUUCUAACAAAAAACGUUCUAACUAACUCUAACUGAUCUUGUUAGUUAACAAGAAUACAUGAUAUAUGUUUUCAUUGGUAUGACAGCAUUAUCACAUCUGACGAACCUCGAGGAGCUAGAUUUAAGCUAUAGAAGGCUCGUGGGCACACCCAAUAUCCAAGGUAUACUGAUAUUUAGCUUAUCUUAGGUCCUAGCUAAGAUAACUUGUGAAUAGUUCAAAGAUAAAGUUCUUGAAUGCUAGUGAAUCCUAAAUUAUUCCAUUAUCACAAACUUUACAAGACCAUGGUUUCUCUAAGAAUUACCUUCCUUUUUGCAGCUUGUAGUAGCUUAUCGAGAUUGAAAAGGCUGGAGAGUAUAAAUCUUUCUGGCAACGAUUUCAACAAGAGUAUCAUAUCAUGCCUAACUGCCCUUCCAUCCCUCAAGAUUCUUGAUCUUUCCUGGUCUAUCACUUCAUUGCGAAGUUCAUUUCCCGUCAAAGGUAUGUUUAAUCUAAAUGAGUCACCAUUAAAGAAACUAAAAGAAUAAAUUUUAUCUUAGCUAUUAUUAUUAUUAUUAUUAUUAUUAUUAAUAUUUUCGUUGUUUCUGAUAGUCACCUUAUUAAAUUGUUUGACAUAUCUCUUUAUUUAAUUUAGAAUUUGUCAAAUUGCCUGAUUUGGAAGUCCUCCUCUUGAUAGGAAAUAGUUUUAAUGGAACACUACCAAUGGAAGGUAGCGCCUUUUCUUCAUUCCUUAAUUCAAAACAAUAUUAUUGUUUUCAACGCAUCCCGGAUAUGAAAAGCCCCACAGCUUCAACCAUCAAUAAUACAUGAUUUUUAACAAAUCCUUUGUUUAGUAACCCUCCAUUGUUUUCAUCCAGCUUUUGCAUCUUUUCACCAUCUGGAGGUCUUAGAUUUGAGUGGCAACUGGUUUGUUGGGAGCGUCCCAUCAGCAAUACAGGCAUUAUCUUCCCUAAGAGCUCUCUCAUUUGCUCGCAAUAAGCUAAACGGAUCAUUACCGGAUCAUGGUAAGUUAUCUAAAGAAUGAACAAUUAAGUGUUUAGAUUGUUUAAAUUAGAUGUACAAACACAAUGUUCUUACAAUAUGGCUAAAUAGGUGCACACCUUUUGUUAAAUUGCCUUUCCCCAAUAGUUAAUCUUUUUGAAGCCGUAUGAUCAUCAAAGUGCAAGUCACUAUAUUAUUUUAAAGGGUGAACCACACUUUUCUUUUUUGGCAGGUUUCUCUAAUUUGAAGAACCUCCAUGAGUUGGAUCUUAGUGGCAACAUGCUCCAUGGAACUCUGCCUCAAUGUUUCAACAAUCUAUCAUCUCUGAGGUUCCUGGAUAUCUCUUCAAAUCAAUUCACAGGGACACUUGUGCCAUCACUCUUUGCUAAUCUCACAUCUCUCGAGUACGUUGAUUUUAGUCAUAACACAUUUGAAGGUUCAUUCUCGUUCAGCUCCUUCGCCAAUCAUUCAAAGCUUGAGGUAAUUCGAUUUUCAAGCGACAAUGACAAAUUUGAGGUGGAAACAGAAGAGCCUAUAGGCUGGAUUCCAUUGUUCCAGUUGGAAAUUCUUGAGCUAUCAAAUUGCUAUAUGAACAAGACCAAAGGACGUGUUAUUCCUGGGUUUCUACUUCACCAGCACAAGUUACGGGAACUAGACAUGUCUCACAACUCCUUGGAGGGACAAUUUCCAAAUUGGUUGAUUAAAAAUAAUAUGAAUCUGGAAGUUCUUAUUCUAAGGAACAACUUGUUUGGCGGUAAGCCGCUGUAUAGGAAUGCUAAUAUGAAGUGGUUGGAUAUGUCUGGAAAUAGCAUGAUAGGUACUAUUCCUGAAAAUAUACCAAAUUUCUUUCCCAACAUAAGUAAUCUGAAUUUUUCCAUGAAUGCUUUAACUGGUGUUAUUCCAUCCUCAAUUGGUAAAUUUAGUAAAUUAUUGGCACUGGAUUUAUCUGACAAUAAGUUAUCAGGAGAAGUACCAAGCGGAUUGUUUACAAAAAUUUCUACUUUGAUGAUCUUAAAACUAUCAAGGAACAAAUUGCACGGGGAGGUACUCUCAGUUAACUUAAGCUGGGGUAUCCUCAAUUCGGUUUACUUAGAUAGCAACCAUUUCACAGGGAAAUUUGGAAAUAAGAGCAGCAAGGAAAACUUUGACUCUCUGACCAGUCUGGAUAUUAGCAAUAACUUGUUUACAGGUAUGAUCCCAGAUUGGAUAAGCAACAUGAGUAGGUUGACUGAACUUGUGGUGAGAAAUAAUAGUUUUGAAGGCAGGUUUCCUUGUGGACCAACUUUAUUCACUUUUCUCGAUAUCUCACAGAAUUCUUUCUCCGGACCCAUCCCGUCCUGUUUGAAUUUGCAAGACAUGGAGCAUCUUCUUUUGGGUUCCAACAGAUUCACUGGAUCGAUACCCAAUUUCUUUCGUAAUUUGACUAAUGUUUUGACUUUAGACAUGGGAGACAACGACUUGUCAGGUAGGAUUCCUAAAUUUAUUGGCGAACUAUCCGAUUUAAGGAUUCUUCUUUUGAGAAAAAAUAACUUUAGCGGUUCUAUUCCCAAGCAGUUGUGCCAGUUAAGUGACGUGGGUUUGUUAGAUUUAUCAUAUAACUCUCUUUCCGGUUCAAUACCUAGCUGCCUACAGAAUAUCACCGGGACUGGCACAGGUUACUUUGAUUUCUUAAAAACAACCCUACUACAGAUUAUCCUUUCUUCCUCUUACCAUUAUGGGAGUAUUCUGCAGGAUUCGGAUUCUACCAAUGUCGGUGUUAGAUCAUUUAGAACACAAGUCGAAGUUGAGUUUACAACAAAAAAGCUCCUUCUCCACUACAAGGGUGACAUCCUUAAUUACAUGACCGGAUUGGAUUUAUCCGGUAACAAACUUACAGGUGAAAUUCCAGAAGAACUAGGGUCGUUGACUCAACUUCGUGCUUUAAACCUGUCUCACAAUCAGCUUACAGGACCCAUUCCAGUGAACUUUUCAAAUCUUGCUAAUAUAGAGAGCUUGGACCUUUCUUCAAAUGGUUUGACCGGCACAGUUCCAUCAUAACUCAUUAAGCUUUCCUCUCUAUCUACUUUCAAUGUUUCUCACAACAAUCUCUCAGGCAGACUCCCAGAAAUGAAAGCACAGUUUGGUACCUUCACAGAGGCAAGCUAUGGAGAGAAUCCACUUCUUUGUGGCCCACCAGUGGAGAAGAAAUGCAUGACUACUAAUUCACAGGUAAUAGAUCCACGAGUUGAAGAAGACAAUGAGAAAUGGUAUGGUAUCGAUAUGACAUGCUUUUAUGCAAGUUCUGGUUCGACGUGUUUUGUGUUCUUAUUGGGAUUUGUUGCACUUCUUUACAUCAA